RNAcentral lists this ribosomal RNA (1091 nucleotides) under Bacillus zhangzhouensis. RNAcentral describes it as "bacterial SSU rRNA". It matches the Rfam family "Bacterial small subunit ribosomal RNA", at positions 53 to 1127 of the family's 1533-position model. Lineage: Bacteria; Bacillati; Bacillota; Bacilli; Caryophanales; Bacillaceae. The record is from RNAcentral.
ACUGGCAGUCGAGCGGANAGAAGGGAGCUUGCUCCCGGAUGUUAGCGGCGGACGGGUGAGUAACACGUGGGUAACCUGCCUGUAAGACUGGGAUAACUCCGGGAAACCGGAGCUAAUACCGGAUAGUUCCUUGAACCGCAUGGUUCAAGGAUGAAAGACGGUUUCGGCUGUCACUUACAGAUGGACCCGCGGCGCAUUAGCUAGUUGGUGGGGUAAUGGCUCACCAAGGCGACGAUGCGUAGCCGACCUGAGAGGGUGAUCGGCCACACUGGGACUGAGACACGGCCCAGACUCCUACGGGAGGCAGCAGUAGGGAAUCUUCCGCAAUGGACGAAAGUCUGACGGAGCAACGCCGCGUGAGUGAUGAAGGUUUUCGGAUCGUAAAGCUCUGUUGUUAGGGAAGAACAAGUGCGAGAGUAACUGCUCGCACCUUGACGGUACCUAACCAGAAAGCCACGGCUAACUACGUGCCAGCAGCCGCGGUAAUACGUAGGUGGCAAGCGUUGUCCGGAAUUAUUGGGCGUAAAGGGCUCGCAGGCGGUUUCUUAAGUCUGAUGUGAAAGCCCCCGGCUCAACCGGGGAGGGUCAUUGGAAACUGGGAAACUUGAGUGCAGAAGAGGAGAGUGGAAUUCCACGUGUAGCGGUGAAAUGCGUAGAGAUGUGGAGGAACACCAGUGGCGAAGGCGACUCUCUGGUCUGUAACUGACGCUGAGGAGCGAAAGCGUGGGGAGCGAACAGGAUUAGAUACCCUGGUAGUCCACGCCGUAAACGAUGAGUGCUAAGUGUUAGGGGGUUUCCGCCCCUUAGUGCUGCAGCUAACGCAUUAAGCACUCCGCCUGGGGAGUACGGUCGCAAGACUGAAACUCAAAGGAAUUGACGGGGGCCCGCACAAGCGGUGGAGCAUGUGGUUUAAUUCGAAGCAACGCGAAGAACCUUACCAGGUCUUGACAUCCUCUGACAACCCUAGAGAUAGGGCUUUCCCUUCGGGGACAGAGUGACAGGUGGUGCAUGGUUGUCGUCAGCUCGUGUCGUGAGAUGUUGGGUUAAGUCCCGCAACGAGCGCAACCCUUGAUCUUAGUUGCCAGCAUUUA